RNAcentral lists this ribosomal RNA (455 nucleotides) under uncultured bacterium. RNAcentral's name for it is "bacterial SSU rRNA". It matches the Rfam family "Bacterial small subunit ribosomal RNA", at positions 340 to 786 of the family's 1533-position model. The record is from RNAcentral.
UACGGAAGGCAGCAGUGGGGAAUAUUGCACAAUGGGCGCAAGCCUGAUGCAGCCAUGCCGCGUGUAUGAAAAAGGCCUUCGGGUUGUAAAGUACUUUCAGUCGUGAGGAAGGUGUUAAGGUUAAUAACCUUAGCAAUUGACGUUAGCGACAGAAGAAGCACCGGCUAACUCCGUGCCAGCAGCCGCGGUAAUACGGAGGGUGCGAGCGUUAAUCGGAAUUACUGGGCGUAAAGGGCACGCAGGCGGUUAAUUAAGUUGGAUGUGAAAUCCCCGGGCUUAACCUGGGAAUGGCAUUCAAGACUGGUUAGCUAGAGUCUUGUAGAGGGGGUAGAAUUCCAUGUGUAGCGGUGAAAUGCGUAGAGAUGUGGAGGAAUACCGGUGGCGAAGGCGGCCCCCUGGACAAAGACUGACGCUCAUGUGCGAAAGCGUGGGGAGCAAAACAGGGAUUAGAUACC